Molecule: microRNA precursor, 207 nt
Organism: Oryza sativa Japonica Group (Japanese rice)
Lineage: Eukaryota; Viridiplantae; Streptophyta; Magnoliopsida; Poales; Poaceae
Rfam family: MIR812 microRNA precursor family
Source: Rfam
AAAAAGACAAAUCCUGAGUUUCCGUGUCCAACGUUUAACUGUCCGUCUUAUAUGAAUUUUUUUAUAAUUAGUAUUUUUAUUGUUGUUAGAUGAUAAAACAUGAUUAAUACUUUAUGCGUGACUUGUCUUUUUAAUUUUUUUUCAUAAUUUUUUCAAAUAAGACGGACGGUCAAACGUUGGACACGGAAACCCAGGGUUUGUCUUUUU